RNAcentral lists this ribosomal RNA (573 nucleotides) under uncultured Methanosarcinales archaeon. RNAcentral's name for it is "bacterial SSU rRNA". It matches the Rfam family "Archaeal small subunit ribosomal RNA", at positions 339 to 903 of the family's 1478-position model. Lineage: Archaea; Methanobacteriati; Methanobacteriota; Methanomicrobia; Methanosarcinales. The record is from RNAcentral.
GCGCGAAAACUUUACACUGCGGGAAACCGCGAUAAGGGGACCCCGAGUGCCAGCACCUAGUGCUGGCUGUCCAGCUGUUCAAAAAACAGUUGUUAGCAAGGGCCGGGCAAGACCGGUGCCAGCCGCCGCGGUAACACCGGCGGCCCGAGUGGUAGCCGUUAUUAUUGGGUUUAAAGGGUCCGUAGCCGGCCUAUUAAGUCUCUUGGGAAAUCUGGCGACUCAAUCGUCAGGCGUUCAAGAGAUACUGGUAGGCUUGGGACCGGGGAGGAGGUGGGGAGGGUACGUCCAGGGGUAGGGGGUGGAAAUACUCGUAAUCCUUGGGGGACCGACCGAUGGCGAAGGCAUCCCACCAGAACGGGUCCGACGGUGAGGGACGAAAGCUGGGGGCGACGAACCGGAUUAGAUACCCGGGUAGUCCCAGCCGUAAACGAUGCUCGCUAGGUGUCAGGUGCGGUGCGACCGCAUCUGGUGCCGUAGUGAAAACUUGAGCGAGUCACCUGGGAAGUACGGUCGCAAGGCUGAAACUUAAAGGAAUUGGCGGGGGAGCACUACAACGGGUGGAGCCUGCGGUUA